RNAcentral lists this ribosomal RNA (529 nucleotides) under Diplectrona sp. CN8. RNAcentral's name for it is "partial 28S ribosomal RNA". Lineage: Eukaryota; Metazoa; Arthropoda; Insecta; Trichoptera; Hydropsychidae. The record is from RNAcentral.
GUAAACCUGUGGAACUCGAACGAGCGAACGGGGAGAUUCAUCGCUCUUCCGCGUACCGGUCCGCGGCGGCGCGGUGCCGGCGGACGUUUCGCGCGAUUCGCGUCGCGCGACGUCCGUCGACGCGCCGUCGUACGUCAGAUCGGCGGAGUGCGUGCACUUCUCCCUCAGUAUAACACCGCGACCCGUUGCGCGUCGAUCGAACACGUCGUGCGGUCGUCCGUCGUCCGUCCGUCAAAAAGGCGGGCGACGGAGCCGCGACGUUGCGGCCGACGUCACACUACGAUCGCGUUGUUUUUUCAACGCGCCGGCGACGGUAACGAACGAGGUUCGCGUCCGCUCCCCCCGCCGCGCGUGUAAAAGCGCGCGGGGGGGGGAGCGUCCGUGGCGCCGCGGCGGCCCUCCCCGCGUAGACCUCGGCGCGAAAGCGUCGCGGGUUCUGCGCGUGCGAGCGUCAGAGUGUCGCUCCGUUUAAAAGCGGCGCCGUCUCGGACGGGACGCGUCCCGGUCAGCGGUGGUUUUGUUUCGGGCA